Molecule: ribosomal RNA, 486 nt
Filed under: uncultured bacterium
Lineage: Bacteria
Description: partial 16S ribosomal RNA
Rfam family: Bacterial small subunit ribosomal RNA
Source: RNAcentral
AUUGAACGCUGGCGGCAUGCCUUACACAUGCAAGUCGAACGGCAGCACGGGUGCUUGCUCCUGUUGGCGAGUGGCGAACGGGUGAGUAAUACAUCGGCACCUGUCCCGUAGUUUUGGAUUGCCCUGCGAAAGCCGGAGUAAUACCCCAAACGCACCACGGAUUACAGCGGGGGACCUGGGUGCUUUGCGCUGUCGGGGUUGCAGUGGCCGGUUUAGCUCGUGGGUGGGGGAAAGGCCCACCAAGGCGACGAGCAGGGUACGGUCGGAGAGGAGGAUCAUCGACACGGGAACGGGGACACGGCCCAGACUCCUGCGGGAGGCAGCAGUGGGGAAUUUUGGACAAUGGGCGAAAGCCUGAUCCAGCAAUGCCGCGUGUGUGAAGAAGGCCUUCGGGUUGUAAAGCACUUUUGUGGGGAAAGAAAUGCUUGGGUCUAAUACAGAGGGGGGAUGACGGUACCGGAAGAAUAAGCACCGGCUAACUACGUG